RNAcentral lists this long non-coding RNA (875 nucleotides) under Gallus gallus (chicken). RNAcentral's name for it is "long non-coding RNA NONGGAT001359". The record is from RNAcentral. Lineage: Eukaryota; Metazoa; Chordata; Aves; Galliformes; Phasianidae.
UUAACACAACACCUCCGCGUUCACAGUAGAACAGAGAUAUUUGCAUGCCAAGCACCGCAUUUAAGGCACAGGAAGGGCCUGUCUGAACGGUAGACACAGCUGUGAAGCUGAGUUUAGGAACUGCUCAAGUCCUGGCUCACCUCCUGCGUGACCCCACUACACACAUUUGCUCUCCAAGUCCCAUAGAGCAGUGAACUAAAAUUUUGAACAAAGGCUUUGCGUUUGGUGGAAAUAGAUACUGUGUGUUAUACCUGUAGGGUUUUCUUACGCCUCUGUUCUCUGCUUCCUAUGCAGUUCUUCUGAGUAAGGUACGUGAAGACCAAUGUGCGUUUUUUUCCUGUGAAUUUUCUGAAAUGAUCCUCCAAAGCUUUUCUUUGUGAUGGCAGUAGGAAUAAUAUAUGCAGCUGGCCUAACUCCAAUAGAGGGAGCUGCAAGACUGGGGCUACCCAUGGAGAAGAUGACUGUAUGCAAGUGGUGACAGCAGCGCAGGCAGGAGCUUGGUGACCAGGGUGUAGUCCCAGGUUGUGAGCAGCCAGGUGGUAAUUACAUGGUGGUCAGCCAACAGUCUCAGAUGUGGUGAUGAGCGUGAUCCAGGGGGUCCAGUUGGGAAUGGCAGGAGAUGGCUCGGGAACAAGGCUGUGACAUAAGCCCAAGGUCAGUGCAGGGAAUGGGGCAGAACAUGGUGCUGCUCCCAUUGUCAGUCACUAAGGGCAGGCCUGAGGUGAAACAGAGUUCUGGAUGAAUGAGCAGAGGGCAUGUGGAUGGAAGUCCCAGGGUUUGUUGUUAUCCGUUCAGGAUCAUUAGUGUACUCGUGACCCUGACAUUCAGACAGGUUGUUUCAUUCUUGUUCCACAGAAGUUUACUUCCAUAGUCUG